GGACGAACGCUGGCGGCGUGCCUAAUACAUGCAAGUCGAACGGUCUUUCUAUGGAAGCUUGCUUCCACUGAGAAGAUAGUGGCGGACGGGUGAGUAACACGUGGGUAACCUGCCCAUAAGAGGGGGAUAACAUCCGGAAACGGGUGCUAAUACCGCAUAGUUUUCUUGAUCGCAUGAUUGAGAAAGGAAAGACGGCCUUUGUGCUGUCGCUUAUGGAUGGACCCGCGGCGUAUUAGUUAGUUGGUGAGGUAACGGCUCACCAAGACGAUGAUACGUAGCCGACCUGAGAGGGUGAUCGGCCACAUUGGGACUGAGACACGGCCCAAACUCCUACGGGAGGCAGCAGUAGGGAAUCUUCCGCAAUGGACGAAAGUCUGACGGAGCAACGCCGCGUGAGUGAAGAAAGGUUUUCGGAUCGUAAAACUCUGUUGUCAGAGAAGAACAAGUCGGAGAGUAACUGCUCCGGCCUUGACGGUAUCUGACCAGAAAGCCACGGCUAACUACGUGCCAGCCGCAGC
Molecule: ribosomal RNA, 518 nt
Filed under: uncultured bacterium
Lineage: Bacteria
Description: bacterial SSU rRNA
Rfam family: Bacterial small subunit ribosomal RNA
Source: RNAcentral